UCGUUUUGUGUAUAAAUAUUUUGAUGCUUGUCUAUGCUCUAUUUUUUUGUUUCAAUUAAUUGUGUUCUGUAUGAGCUUAUAUUUGAUAUGUAAAUUUUUAUUCCAUAUAAAUUCUCUUGGUUGAAUGAUUAAGAUACAAACAUACAUACAUAAUUAGCUAGCUACUCUGCUCCCCUAGCUUCCAUAUUAAACAACUUCCAUAUCAAUUAUGAGAGAUUUCUUGUAAGGGAAAACUUGAAAAUGAGGAAAUAAGUUUCUUCUUUCUAAAAUAAACAUAGCCUUAGAUAAUAAUAUUUCAUGAUUAUUUCAAAAUAAGGAAAUUAGCCUCAUUCAAUACAAGUUAUUGAGUACUUGUCAAUAAAAUAACAAGGCAGGAAAGCAGGGGCAAAAGAAUGGUGGGGAUUAUUUGUACUAAAUAAGGAAUGGCUGAUACAUAGAGCACCUGAGGCAAAAUCUCAAUUAGGUAAUAAUGACUUAUAUGGCUAUGGAAUCUAAUUUUUUUUUAAAUCGAUGUUGCUACUUUCUUAUAUUCGGUUUGCUUUCUUUGGUGACAAAAAGAGGGAUUUGAGUCCACUUGAGAACAAAAGUGAUAAGCCUUGCAGAAGUUAUAUAAGGUUCAGUUCUUUGUUGCCAUCUUGUGGGGUCUGCUCAUGAUUGUAAUUGUCUAUUUCGUUUUUAUCUAUACCAUAUUUGUGCACUCCAACCUCAGUGCUCGUGUGAUGUACUUGGAUCGUUUAUGUAAGCUUUUGGUGUUGCAGAAUGAUCUCAAAAACUGUAGUGAAAUUCAACUUGUGGUGUGAUUAUCCUUUUCCUAAAGUCAGCAUAAUUUGAUGAGGAAGAGAAGCUUGAAUCUUAUGGAAUAGAUGACGUAUGCAG
This is a long non-coding RNA of Mangifera indica (mango), 876 nucleotides long. RefSeq lists it as uncharacterized. The transcript has 2 exons. NCBI's taxonomy places the organism in Eukaryota, Viridiplantae, Streptophyta, Magnoliopsida, Sapindales, Anacardiaceae. The record is from RefSeq and is a predicted model, not a curated record.